RNAcentral lists this signal recognition particle RNA (97 nucleotides) under Canibacter oris. RNAcentral describes it as "Bacterial small signal recognition particle RNA". It matches the Rfam family "Bacterial small signal recognition particle RNA". From Rfam's summary of the family: The signal recognition particle (SRP) is a universally conserved ribonucleoprotein involved in the co-translational targeting of proteins to membranes. Archaeal SRP consists of a 7S RNA and homologues of the eukaryotic SRP19 and SRP54 proteins. In most bacteria, the SRP consists of a 4.5S RNA and the Ffh protein (a homologue of the eukaryotic SRP54 protein). Lineage: Bacteria; Bacillati; Actinomycetota; Actinomycetes; Micrococcales; Microbacteriaceae. The record is from Rfam by way of RNAcentral.
UGUUGCUCCUCAUGUGACGCAAUCUUGGUUAACCCCCCCAGGGCGGAAACGCAGCAAGGGUACCUGAGCUCUUGCGGGUGCGUGAGGAGCUUUUGCU